Molecule: non-coding RNA, 24 nt
Filed under: Arabidopsis thaliana (thale cress)
Lineage: Eukaryota; Viridiplantae; Streptophyta; Magnoliopsida; Brassicales; Brassicaceae
Source: RNAcentral
GCUCAAUUGGUAAAGACUCUAGGC